UACGUAGGAGACGAGCGUUGUCCGGAAUCACUGGGCGUAAAGCGCGUGUAGGCGGGUCCGCAAGUCUGCUGUGAAAACUCCUGGCUUAACCGGGAGAGGUCGGUGGAAACUGCGAACCUGGAGGACGGUAGAGGCUGGUGGAAUUCCCGGUGUAGUGGUGAAAUGCGUAGAGAUCGGGAGGAACACCUGUGGCGAAGGCGGCCAGCUGGGCCGGACCUGACGCUGAGACGCGAAGGCGUGGGGAGCGAACGGG
RNAcentral lists this ribosomal RNA (253 nucleotides) under uncultured bacterium. RNAcentral's name for it is "partial 16S ribosomal RNA". It matches the Rfam family "Bacterial small subunit ribosomal RNA", at positions 524 to 776 of the family's 1533-position model. The record is from RNAcentral.